RNAcentral lists this ribosomal RNA (352 nucleotides) under uncultured bacterium. RNAcentral describes it as "bacterial SSU rRNA". It matches the Rfam family "Bacterial small subunit ribosomal RNA", at positions 1 to 334 of the family's 1533-position model. The record is from RNAcentral.
CUAUGCGCCUUGCCAGCCCGCUCAGUCAGAGUUUGAUCCUGGCUCAGGAUGAACGCUAGCGGAAGGCCUAACACAUGCAAGUCGAGCGGUAUUUGGUAGCUUGCUACUAGAGAGAGCGGCGUACGGGUGCGUAACAUGUGUGCAACCUACCCUUAGUCAAGGGGAUAGCCAUUCGAAAGGAUGAUUAAUACCCUAUAAUAUAUCAGGUGGCAUCAUUUGAUAUUGAAAGCUACGGUGGAUAAGGAUGGGCACGCACAAGAUUAGCUAGUUGUAAGUAACGGCUUACCAAGGCGAUGAUCUUUAGGGGUCCUGAGAGGGAGAUCCCCCACACUGGGACUGAGACACGGCCCAG